GGGGCCUUAGCUCAGUUGGCAGAGCGCCUGCUUUGCAAGCAGGAUGUCAGGAGUUCGAAUCUCCUAGGCUCCACC
Molecule: transfer RNA, 75 nt
Filed under: Planobispora longispora
Lineage: Bacteria; Bacillati; Actinomycetota; Actinomycetes; Streptosporangiales; Streptosporangiaceae
Also listed under: 11 other names
Description: tRNA-Ala
Rfam family: tRNA
About the family: Transfer RNA (tRNA) molecules are approximately 80 nucleotides in length.
Source: RNAcentral